GACCAGGCAUUCCUGAGUAGCCUAGCUGUUAACACAGGGUUGGACUAAUCUAAUGUCUGUCAGCACAUAGAUAUAAAAACAUAUACAUAUCUAUGUGUCAUCAGGUGGCAUUUCGAAACUGCAGCACCACCAGCAUGUGACGCACACUGGACACUGCAUCGUUUAAAUGGAUUUCUUGCAGAAGAUAAGCUGCUCUCUCUCUUUAUAAAUGUCAAUGAGUGUAAAUGUCAACAUCACAUCUAAAGGACUGAAGUCUGUCAGAAUUGUAGGAGAAACAUCUGAGAUAAUAAAAGAUGAAAACUGAGAUCUCCUUGUGACAUUAAAUAACAUCAGAAAUACAUCAGAAUAAUGGAUGACUGAUGCUUAACCAGAUUAUGUCCGCCAUUUCACGAUAUUUUCCACUCCACUCUUCUUCAUUCAUCUCCUCUGGUUUAGUGUGAUUCAGUGAGCUGUAACAUUGUCACGUGCCGCAUGUCUGUGACGUGAGUGAUAACAGCUCGUUCCUGUUCUGAAGAACCUCUAUAACUCAGUAACUUUUAGUUUCAAAGUCACCAUGAAAUCAAAAUGGACAAUUCUUGUUUUUGAUGGAAUAUUGCAGUAUUUAUUAUAAAUUAUUAUUUUUUAACCCUCUGGUCGUGUGGUGGUCAAAAAUUACUGAUUUUUUAUUUUAUUUCAAUGAAAUGAAUGUACUAUAUUUUAGUUUGAUAAUGUAUUUUUAGGGGAUUUUAUGGUACUAAAUUAUAUUUAUGGAAUAGAUAUGAUCGGUCAUAAAUCUUGAAUGCUUUGGAGCACAAACUUUUCCAGUUUGGCCUCUUUUUAUAGAAGACAGAUUAUUUCUGAGGUGAAAAAGUAAAAAGUGAAACUAAAAUAAGGUUAUAUAAGUUUAAUUAUGAAAAAUGCAUACAAAAUUUUUAUUUGUAUAUGAAAUAUAUUUUUUUUCAAGACAUGUUUUGCUCUAAAGCCAUACAUCUAAACAAGUUGUGUUCCAAAUUUGUGGUUAUCUAAAAAAUUUAGCUUUCAGUAAGAAUUUGUUUUGGUGCGGUACUAAACGUUUCCAUUAGAUGAAAUUCGUCUCCCAUUAAUUUCCAAUGCGCUCAUUUUUGACCAUAAAUAAUACAACUGUGAUUAUUUUUUUAGGACCAUUUAACCUUUUCAAAUCAUGUCCAUUUUUUGUUUGUUUGUUUGUUUGUUUGUUUGUUUGUUGUGUGUUCACACAGCAAGUGCAAAAACCUUUACCAAGUUUCGUUCCAUUCCCAUAAAGUAAAAAAUUCUAAAAAAACAAAAUGUAAAAUUUUUCAAAAAUGAGUUUCACUCAGAUAUAUAGGGAAGAAAAGAUAAUCGCAACUUCCAUUUCAUGCCGACUUUAAACUUAAAAGAAAUGCCUCUCUUUUUUUGUCCAUUCAAUGGAAGUGAAUGAUCACCAAAACUGUUUGGUUACCAACAUUUUUAAAAUGAUCUUGUGUUCAUACAGGUUUGGUACGACAUAUGGGUGAAUAAAUGAUGACAGUAUAUUUCAUGACAGUUUAUGACAGUGAAUCAUCCCUUAAAGGAAAUGUUUCUUUUAAAAAGCUACGUCAGACUUUCAGAAAUAUACUCAAGCUCAGACACUUUAUUAAUUAUAAGUUUCAUUAUUUACACUGGCAAGAAAAUGAACAGGAUGUUCAUAAAAAAGUAAGGGAUUGACAGAUGGUUUACAUGCGGAUGUCACAUUUUCAUAUUUUUAAUCAUCUUUUGAAAUUUUAAUAUCACGCCAACUUCUAUCAUUUGAUCAGACAGGAUGGAAUGUUCUAAUGACAAAAAACAGCUUUUUGAAUCUGACAGCUCUUUAGUUCCAUGGCCUCAUGGGAUAAUGAAGUGUCAGUGAUAUAUUUUAUCAAUUCAAACAAUAUUCUAAAGAAAACAUGUUUUGUUUGAAACAUAAUAAAUUGGACAUGACAAAACAUCUGCUCAAAUCAGUUUUAAAUUCACCCUUAUGUUAACUUGUGUUGUGUAUACAUAACCUAUGAUAAGUUGUGUAAUUGUGAUAACCUAAUUUGAUUUCCAAGGUUUAAAAAUUGUUUUAAUAUUUUAUUCAAUAUAUGAAGAUGUAUGUUGAGACCAUGAUGAUGUGUUAUAUAGUAGGAAUGACAUUGACAGCCUCUUCUUUUGCUUUUCCAUUUACAGAUUAUAAUAUUUGUAAAUGAUCUGAUAGAAUCUGAUUUUAAAUCUCUCUCUCUUCUCCUUUCCUUUCCUCUUUUUGUGUCUUUCAUUUCCUCUAUUCGUUCUCAAAGAGCUCCAUAUGUCACAGUCGCCUGCUCUCACCUCUGCUUCUUUUCUUCUCAUUGUUUCUCAUUGUCUGUCGGUCCAUAUCCUGCUCUUUCAGAGUCAGUCGCUGUCUAUCUAUCUCUUACUUUCUGUCUUGUGUUAGUGUCUUGAUCUGUUUGUCUGCUUAGCUCCCUGUAAUUCUAUUUAAUAUUGUUUGCAUGUCGAAGCAUUUGCAUUUAGAUAAUGUAAAUUCCUUAUUAUUUUACAAAGAGUUUGUACAAAAAACUACAAAGUUUCAGGAUGAAACAAUCAUCUUGCAAGCAAACAGGUCAUGCUGACUUUCAAUGAUGAAAAGCCUUCGUGUCUAAUUACAGUGCAGAGAUGAAAUGUGUAUCUAUGGCUUUCUCGCUAUUAGGCAGAUGAAUGUAGGGAUGUAGGCUCACAAGGUCAAUUACAACACAUUUAAUGGAAAUAUGUGCAUGAAGCUUCACUGUACCGUGCAUGAGAGUUUUCCCAGCUAAUAAAAAUAUGUUCUAAGAAAAA
This is a long non-coding RNA of Ctenopharyngodon idella (grass carp), 2787 nucleotides long. RefSeq lists it as uncharacterized. The transcript has 3 exons. The record is from RefSeq and is a predicted model, not a curated record. NCBI's taxonomy places the organism in Eukaryota, Metazoa, Chordata, Actinopteri, Cypriniformes, Xenocyprididae.